CGAGACCUCAGGUCAGGCGGGGCUACCCGCUGAAUUUAAGCAUAU
RNAcentral lists this ribosomal RNA (45 nucleotides) under Astragalus alyssoides. RNAcentral describes it as "partial 26S ribosomal RNA". The record is from RNAcentral. Lineage: Eukaryota; Viridiplantae; Streptophyta; Magnoliopsida; Fabales; Fabaceae.